Molecule: ribosomal RNA, 494 nt
Filed under: uncultured bacterium
Lineage: Bacteria
Description: partial 16S ribosomal RNA
Rfam family: Bacterial small subunit ribosomal RNA
Source: RNAcentral
GACGAACGCUGGCGGCGUGCUUAACACAUGCAAGUCGAACGGUGAAGCGCCUUCCUUUUUGGCUGGUGUGGAUGAGUGGCGAACGGGUGAGUAACACGUGAGUAACCUGCUUCCUUCUUCUGGAUAACCGCAUGAAAGUGUGGCUAAUACGGGAUAUUCUGGGUCUGUCGCAUCAUGGGUCUUGGAAAGCUAUUGUUUCGGUGGGGGAUGGGCUCGCGGCCUAUCAGGUUGGUGGUGGGGUGAUGGCCUAACAAGGCGGUGAGGAGCAGCCGGCAUGAGAGGGUGGACGGUAAUACGGGGGAUAAGAGACGGAGAAGACUACGACGGGAAGCAGCGGGGAAGAAUAUAGAACAAGGGGCGGAAGGAUGAAGCAGUGACGCGGGGGGGAGGAUGGAGGCCGUCGGGUGGUGAACCUCUGUUGAGAGAGAAGAAGACCUGGAUAGUUUGUGGGUGGGUUGACGGUAGCUGAAGAAGAAGCGCCGGCUAACUACGUG